AAAAGUCGUAACAAGGUAACCGUAGGUGAACCUGCGGUUGGAUCAUUACAAAGUUUUUGUUGUUGCUCUUCGGAGCCUCAACUUCAACCCCUUGUGCAAUUGUGAAUGUUUCUGGGUGUUCUUUUGGACUCUCUAGUUCAAACCACCCACUCUUAUAAUAAACACUAUUAUUUGUCUGAAAUUAAGAAAUUAAUUAUAAACAACUUUUGACAACGGAUCUCUUGGCUCUCG
This 231-nucleotide unclassified non-coding RNA is filed under the name fungal sp. Its description in RNAcentral is "partial internal transcribed spacer region". The stretch from base 1 to 48 matches the Rfam family "Eukaryotic small subunit ribosomal RNA", at positions 1784 to 1831 of the family's 1831-position model. Lineage: Eukaryota; Fungi. The record is from RNAcentral.